RNAcentral lists this long non-coding RNA (301 nucleotides) under Macaca mulatta (Rhesus monkey). RNAcentral's name for it is "lncRNA (ENSMMUG00000063065.1)". The record is from RNAcentral. Lineage: Eukaryota; Metazoa; Chordata; Mammalia; Primates; Cercopithecidae.
AGGUGCCUCAUCCAUAAUGGAAUCCAGGAAAUACUCGGUGAAUGAAGGAAGGGAGGGUGUCCAGGCCCUAACUGAUGUGGUCAUUUGUAAGACAGUGAUGUUCCUGUUUCUUUCAGUCCGGGGAUCCCGAGCUGUCCUGCAGCUAUACCCUGAGAACUCAGAGCAGUUGGAGCUGAUCACAACCCAGGCCACAAAGCGCGGGCUUCUCCGAGUGGCAUGGUGGUGGACUACCCUAACAGUGCCAAAGCAAAGAAAUUCUACCUCUGCUUGUUUUCUGGGCCUUCGACCCUUUAUACCAGAG